GUCGUAACAAGGUCUCCGUUGGUGAACCGCGGAGGAUCAUUACCGAGUUUUCAACUCCCCAACCCUUCUGUGAACCUACCUAUCGUUGCUUCGGCGGACUCGCCCCAGCCCGGACGCGGACUGGACCAGCGGCCCGCCGGGGACCUCAAACUCUUGUAUUCCAGCAUCUUCUGAAUACGCCGCAAGGCAAAACAAAUGAAUCAAAACUUUCAACAACGGAUCUCUUGGCUCUGGCAUCGAUGAAGAACGCAGCGAAAUGCGAUAAGUAAUGUGAAUUGCAGAAUCCAGUGAAUCAUCGAAUCUUUGAACGCACAUUGCGCCCGCCAGCAUUCUGGCGGGCAUGCCUGUUCGAGCGUCAUUUCAACCCUCGACCUCCCCUUGGGGAGGUCGGCGUUGGGGACCGGCAGCACACCGCCGGCCCUGAAAUGGAGUGGCGGCCCGUCCGCGGCGACCUCUGCGUAGUAAUACAGCUCGCACCGGAACCCCGACGCGGCCACGCCGUAAAACACCCAACUUCUGAACGUUGACCUCGAAUCAGGUAGGACUACCCGCUGAACUUAAGCAUAUCA
RNAcentral lists this ribosomal RNA (569 nucleotides) under Beauveria bassiana. RNAcentral's name for it is "eukaryotic LSU rRNA". The stretch from base 205 to 358 matches the Rfam family "5.8S ribosomal RNA". Lineage: Eukaryota; Fungi; Ascomycota; Sordariomycetes; Hypocreales; Cordycipitaceae. The record is from RNAcentral.